Molecule: long non-coding RNA, 837 nt
Organism: Bombyx mori (domestic silkworm)
Lineage: Eukaryota; Metazoa; Arthropoda; Insecta; Lepidoptera; Bombycidae
Exons: 2
Source: RefSeq, a predicted model, not a curated record
ACCAUAGUCUUACGCCCGGUUCCAAUAUCCAAAAAACGAAUCGUUUUAUAUUACGAUCCGUUACAAUAUCUACGAAUCGUAGGACAAAAUAGUUCCUAUAAAAACGACUCGUUUUUAAAAUUACUGAUGACUUGCUACUAACGGAUGGGAGGGCUAACAUAACGGUUCGUACUGCGUUUUGUAUGGAGACUGUUGUCUGUAGUGUUCCUAUAUUAUUUUAGAAAUGUCAGUGAGCUGUCAGAACUACCACGCGUAGAGCAUUUUUUAACCUACCGAUUUUGUUCGGUUGUGCUUUGGAAUUUUUGUGUUUGUGUUUUUUCUUUUAAAAUGUCGAGUUCAGAAAGUGAUAACGAAGUUUUAAUGUUACUGAAUUCAAGCGACGAUUCAAGUGAUGAUACGCGAAGUAAUAGAGUGUAUAAAACAAGAAUCAAUUAUUAUUCAGAGCUCGAUAAUCAGGAGUUUCAACUAAGAUUUCGGCUCGACAAGCAGUCUGUGCAAUUACUGUUAGGUGAAAUUUAUCCUUUGUUAAAGGUAAAAGGAACCAGGAAUCAUGGAAUAUCUCCCUUACAUUACAAUUUAUCAGUUUGUAAUGAAAUAAACGAACAACAAAGUACGACGCUAACACAAUUUUUUUGGUAUUUUGGCGCGGUCCGGCGACAUCUGGCGUUUCCUUUGUCUCUUCAUGGCGUUUUGUUCACUUUACAGUUAAAACUAAAGUAACUGUUUUUAAAUUGUGAAUGUUCAAAUAAAAUUACAUAUGUGAUGAAUUACAAUUAAUUUAUAUUAUUUUAAAAUAUUUAUGUAAAAAUACUAAUAAAAACUUAUGUAUUUUGAAAA